This is a non-coding RNA of Pelmatolapia mariae (spotted tilapia), 438 nucleotides long. The record is from the annotation of a RefSeq genome assembly. NCBI's taxonomy places the organism in Eukaryota, Metazoa, Chordata, Actinopteri, Cichliformes, Cichlidae.
AUGACGCCUCUGUUCAUCUCAGUGCUGCUGGCUGCUAUGUGCCUCGAAUGCAGAGCACAAAAAGACAACGUGCUGCAAGCAAAAGGAGAAGAGACUGCUGCUGAAGGAGGCACAGUAACACUUCACUGUCUCUAUAACACCAGUGGUUUAACAGGCACUUCUCUCUUCUGGUACAAACAGGAUGGAAACAACAGCCCCAAAUUCAUCCUGAGCCGUGUUAGUGGGGACCAAGGAAACACAGCAGACGAGUUCAAGGAGAGAUUUUCAUCCACACUGGAUUCCAGCAUCAGAUCAGUUCCUCUGAAGAUCCAGAAGCUUCAGUUGUCUGACUCUGCUGUGUACUACUGUGCUCUGCAGCCCACAGUGACAGGAAACACCAAAACUCUGUACAAAAACCUUUGGCGCAAAGACAACAGAAUACUCCACAACAUCCACUAG